CCAACCUGCCCUGAACUGGGGGAUAGCCCGCCGAAAGGCGGAUUAAUACCGCAUAUACCAGCAGCCUGGCAUCAGGCAAUUGGGAAAGAUUUAUUGGUUCAGGAUGGGGUUGCGUGACAUUAGCUAGUUGGCGGGGUAACGGCCCACCAAGGCGACGAUGUCUAGGGGACCUGAGAGGGUGAUCCCCCACACUGGCACUGAGAUACGGGCCAGACUCCUACGGGAGGCAGCAGUAGGGAAUAUUGGGCAAUGGGCGAGAGCCUGACCCAGCCAUGCCGCGUGCCGGAUGAAGGCCUUCUGGGUUGUAAACGGCUUUUCUCAGGGAAGAAAAAGGUGAUGCGUCACAAACUGACGGUACCUGAGGAAUAAGCACCGGCUAACUCCGUGCCAGCAGCCGCGGUAAUACGGAGGGUGCAAGCGUUGUCCGGAUUUAUUGGGUUUAAAGGGUGCGUAGGCGGCCCGUUAAGUCCGGGGUGAAAGCCCACAGCUCAACUGUGGAACUGCCCUGGAUACUGGCGGGCUUGAGUCCAGACGAGGUUGGCGGAAUGGAUGCUGUAGCGGUGAAAUGCAUAGAUAGCAUCCAGAACCCCGAUUGCGAAGGCAGCUGACUAGGCUGGUACUGACGCUGAGGCACGAAAGCGUGGGGAGCGAACAGGAUUAGAUACCCUGGUAGUCCACGCCGUAACGAUGGAUACUCGCUGGUGGCGAUAGACAGUCACUGGCUUA
This 726-nucleotide ribosomal RNA is filed under the name bacterium 31_xplvp325. RNAcentral describes it as "bacterial SSU rRNA". It matches the Rfam family "Bacterial small subunit ribosomal RNA", at positions 121 to 850 of the family's 1533-position model. The record is from RNAcentral.